AAAUCCUUUAUCCAAACCCAUAUCAAGGUUUUGGUAUUAUUUUCCUUCUACAACCUACUUCAGCUUCCUAAUGAUACUGCAACCCAAAAUAUCAAGACAGGUAUACCACCCCUUUAAACAGCAUAGUAUAGCCAAGUUUCUUGAUGAAUAUAAAGUUGAUUUUCUUGGCCUGAUUGAAACUAAAGUAAGACACUUCAAUUUUAUAUUUGUAGUAAU
Molecule: long non-coding RNA, 216 nt
Filed under: Actinidia chinensis (golden kiwifruit)
Lineage: Eukaryota; Viridiplantae; Streptophyta; Magnoliopsida; Ericales; Actinidiaceae
Description: long non-coding RNA (ACHI_LNC002920)
Source: RNAcentral